Long non-coding RNA from Lagopus muta (rock ptarmigan), 38480 nucleotides. RefSeq lists it as uncharacterized. The transcript has 5 exons. Lineage: Eukaryota; Metazoa; Chordata; Aves; Galliformes; Phasianidae. The record is from RefSeq and is a predicted model, not a curated record.
AAGGCAAAAGAAAAUCUCUUUUGUCACUGUGAUAGGAAUUACAUGGGCACACAGGCAAUCAUUCUAUACCGCAUGAUUGUACUAGGGUCUUUGCAGUCUACGUUUUGAAAAGGAAACUGCUUUAACACCUGAAACACUGUAUCUUUUGCUAGAACUUGUGAUGGUGGUUAACCACUGAAGUGUGCGUAUAAACACUUGUACUUUUCCUCAAAUCCCACUAUCUGGCAAUUUUCCAGAGUACUCUGGGCCUCAUUUCAUGCUGCUUUAGCUCCUCUGAGAGUUCAGAGGUAGCAGCUUGUAAGUAAACAAAAUCCCUGAUUUUUUCUACCCUAUUGAGAAGCUCCCUGGGAACACAAGCCUGUCUCAUAAUAAGCACAUUUAUCCUAUAAUCCAGUAAAAAAAAACAGUAAAUAUGAAUAUUGCUUUCCUAUGAGCCCAUCAUAGUUUACUGUGUCCCCAUCCACCUUCAGUCAUGUAUGGGGUGGUAGGGGUUUGAACCACAGAUGGUACCUUUUGGCAGAGUUUCCUUAGCUUACACUGCCAUGCUGGCUCGUCUAUGUUCUUUGGGGUAGAACAGAAAGGGUCCAACCAGGAUGCAAGCACUCCUUUUAAUGCCCUGACUUAGACUUUUGUGCCUGCUGGCACUUUUGAAGCUGAAUGGACUCACAGGUUCAUACUCAUCAAAGGCUAUAGAUGGACAAGGCAAGAUGUUAAUUCUAGCAGCUUCUUACAUCACCUUUUGCAAAUACCCGCUUAGCCACCAUGUAAACCUGUAGUCUCCAAAGGCCCACUGUCCUCUCUGCAUUUAACAUCAAAGUAUUCCAGGUCCCUCAAACCUUCUUUGCGUGCCUAGAAGUACUGCUACUUUAUACUUAUAUCUUAAAAGAAAAUUAUACAAAAAUUGUAUGAAUGUCCCUGAUAAAAUUUUAAUUUACUCGUGUUUCCUAAAGGUGAACUGUGACAGAGCAGUAGAGCUCAGUGCACAGAACUCUGAUUUUCUUGCUCCUAGGACUGCACGUAUCUAACUGGACAUAAAUGCACUUUUUAAUAGAAAUCUCUGCAGUUGUCAGAGUAGGAAUCCAGACCGGCUCUUCUCCUGUGCUGAGUAGUUUUGUUCAGUUUCUCUAGACUAUUAACGUAUACUCAGGACCACAGGCUUUGCUUAGGGAGUAGGCAUCUAGGAGCAGGGAGUUAUUUUGCUUCCACAGCGCAGGACUGUAGGUCUUUGCGUGACUUCUUGAAUGUUUUUUUGAAAUGUUAAAGCUGAAAGGAGAAAAUGGUGUUAUUAUCAAGGGAAGGGAAGAUCACACUUUUCCUAUCACUGUGUAUCUGAUUGCCUGCUCUCUUCUUCCUCUGCCCUGCCCAGACUAUGAAUAGGAGGUGUUUCCUGCAGGCCAGCUACAGCAUCGCUAUUAGAAAGCCUCAGCCACAAGUGAAGAAUACAGGCCAGACUGAAAGCAAUGACUUGCUGGUGACUGAUCUCAGCUGAUGGGGGAAAAAAUGACUCCUCAGUGAACUGGGCUAGCUCCCAGAAAAAGAAUCCAUUGCUUUGGAAAAGAGAUUAAUGAAGUACAUUCAGCAGAUCUGCUGGCCACUGGACAGCAGUUUGUACUGCAGCCACCGGAUGAGGCAUUUUGUUGUGUCACUGGAUUAUUUAUAUCUUCCGUUGACUAGCACAUUGGUUUCCCUAAAACAGACGUGCUUCUCUUCCUGUUACCGCCCAUGCAGCAGGCUUGGAAGGCAUAGAGAAAAGUGGGACUGCAAGUUUAGCGCAAGACUAAACUUUCUCAGAUGUGGAUGUUGCCUUGCAAGUUUGGAAAACAAAUCAAAAUACUGUAUGGAUCAUUGAACAGUUGGAAUGGAGUAAUCUUCCUUCUCUGCUGAUCUGUGACACAAGGUCAGUGUUUGUCUCUCCAAGGGUAACUUGUACCAACUGGAGAGCACGUAUAUGGAAUCUUGGUGACAUACACAUCUGCUACAAAAAGGAGACGUUAAUCAUCACUUCAUUGAGGUACAGCUGAGUUCUAUUCAUCCUUGAAAAACAAAACAAAAAAUUGCUAACCAAUGGUAAUCACAGACCUGCUGUAGCUAUUAACACACAAUCUUCACUUGGAGAUACAAUGUUUCUGUCUCUGUGUACUUGAUUAUGUAGGUGCACAACUCCAUGUGACGUCAGCAGAUCAGUGGGCUGAAGCAGAUGAAUCACCACCUGAUGUAUCAACAUUAUUGAUGGUUUUGGUAUUUUAUUUUGGAUUAGACUUAAUCUGUUUCCCUGACAUCUCAUACAUUGUCUUGAAGGACCACUCACCAGUUCAGUCCUUUUCUCUCUCCACUAUGGACUGGGGUGAGCUGUGUAGAGAGAGGAACUUUGCAUAGAGAGUCUGGUUUGAAUGUGCUAAGGCUACUCUCCAAACCGUACUGCUGGGUGGUAAAAUGAAACACUCAGGACAACACUGUACUGCUGCUCUGAACCAGACCAGUAAUGUGAGCACAACCUAGUGACCUCGUGUUUUGGGGUCAAACACUUCUGGUAUCUUAGCUAGACUGUUUUGUUCUCAAGUCAUUACAAACGCAGCAAGGAACUUGUUCCUUUGUCUGCAACAUUGUCUAAUGAAUCACUUAGCUCACUAUGGCAGUUAAUCUUUUUUUUUUUUCUUUCUAAAAUACAUGUCAUGACACAGUUGUUAGGUUAUGUGCCCUCAGGAUGUUCUUCAUGCUGUUUUUUUAACCUGUUAGAACAGAAAAGAGAAAAAAAAAAAAAGCCACAAAAAAACCAAACCCUUCUCUCUUGAGCCUCUAAACUCACUGGUGAUCUUAAAUUUGAGUCAUACAUGCUUGCUUGUUCUUCAGCACUAUGCACUGAUAAUAGUUACUCUUUAAUUUAAGGAUGGCUAACAACCAUGAUUUCCUAUGCAUAUUUUCCCUUUGGGUACCAAAAAUGAGAUGCACAUUAGCUGAUUUUGGAGAGGCACUAAGUCAAUCCAAAACACAAGGGUUGUAUUGCUUUAGCCCUCUUGACUAUUCCAAACUCAGCACAUCUGUUUUUUAAGAAUGUAGGUGUGCAAAUGAAGAAAUGAAUUUUGAUUUUCUUCAGCAGGUGUCACAGUCACACAGUCUGUGUAAGUUUGAGAUAAAUCAAAUUGUAUCCUUGCAGGUGAUGGAAAAUGUGAAAGAACAAGCAGCAAGUGAAGAGAUCAAUAUCAGUAUUUUCAGAUUAGGCUGCAAAGUUCUCUUCCUUUUCUCUUCCAGACCACCAUGUCAUAGACCUUUUCACAGAUUGCUCAGGCUUUGUCUUAAAUUUAUCUGAAUUUCUUCUCCUUAGUUUCUCCAGAGUUAUUUGAAUUUUCCAGGACCUCACUGUUCUGCUGGUUAGACAAACUUGUUUUCCAGUUUAAAUUUAUUCAGAGUUCUUUUCUAACACAUAGGUUUUAUGUGAUUAACUGAGACAUCCAAGACUUCUGUUCUAUUGGUAGUUUCCAAAUAUUGUUUCUCGAAUUUGGUGGAAGGCUAUCAUUAUUUUAUUAACUAAUUUAAAUUUGUCAAGUUGUUUACCCAACUUCUUUCUCUGGAAUUCAAGGGCACUCAGUUUCUCUAUGAUGAUGUUCUGGUCUUCCUCUUCAUUAAUGACAUCUCCUAGUUUUGUCAGCAGUAAAUUUCAUUAUUAUUUUUUGAUAUCAAAAUCACUGAUAAAAACAUUGAGGAAAUAUUAAUCAAAGACCAGUGACCAAAUUAUUAACUCUUCUCUGACUCAACUUGUCUGCCCUGUGUUGGCUGUAGGUGCAUGCAAGUUCCUCAUUAAUGCAGUAAUUCUCCUUAUCAAUGUAGCAAUUCUUCUCUUCCCCAGUCAAACCACUGAUUUUCUGGACAGCACUGUAUCACACACUUUGCUAAAUUAGAUCCAAUGUAUUUACACAGAAUCAGUUGCUGCAGUGGGAAGGAACCUCUGAAGAUUAUCUAGUUCAAAUCUCUCUUCAAUGCUGGGUUAUCUCACAUUUAGAGGAAAAAAAAAAGUCUAGUCUGGUGUGCACUUGCCAAAUGAAAGUUGCACUUUAUCCAGAUUUGGUUUUGUCUUUCCAUCUUUAACAAGUUUCUGAUGGGACAUGUACCUUCACCUUGGUGAAAUGCCUUGGUAUGUAUGUGUUAGGGGGAAAAAAAAGUGCUUCUUGUUACAAGGGAAAAACUCUAGUAGGCUACUGUUGAAUCAAAUCUGUAGGAUGUAGUUUGAUUGAUAAGAAUCUGUAGUAUGUUACUGGAUUUUUUUUUCCUGCCCAUUAGAUGUCAACGGAAAAAAUAUGUGUAUUUUUGACAAGUGCUAUUCCUUGGUAUCAUUGCCUGUAUACAAUUUUGUUGUUUUAAUUUUCCUUUCUACUGCAAAUGAUAGCUUUGCAUUUACAGACCUUGAAGCUACCUCACAGUACUCUCUUGGCAGUCCAGUUUUGAGGUAAAAGCAUCAAGUAACAUACCCAAGGUGAAGGAUGGGAUACUCUCUUCUUUCAGCUGCUCUGGCUCCCACUGUCCCAUGGGUGCACUUUAGGGUGUUAGAUGUGGUGCUAAAUAGUUUGAGAGCAGAACCACAUUUCCAAAGCUGAACCCUUUUCUUGAUUCUUGAUUAAAAAAAAAAUAAAAAUUUGGGAGGAGAGUAGUAGGAGGAAGAGUGGAUAGGGAGCUGUCAGCUGUAAUACACUUUUUCUGAAAUUCAUUUUCUACUCUGAACUUGAUGCAGAUGGGGUUUCCAGGGUUCUAACACUUCAGGCACAUCAGCAGUUGCUAGCUUUCAGGACAGGAUGCAGCCCCCUCCUUACUUUCUAAACCAGCACUCCAAUCCACCCACCUUCCCUUUCCAACCUUAGUUUCUUUGUGCUUGGGAACUGCUGAAUCAUGGCCUGAACCUCUGAUUGAUCACCUGAGGCAAGCAAUGAGUCAGCCACAGGAGCACAGCUGAAGGCAAUUCACCUGUACUGCCAGAAGGUGUGGAGCCUGGCUCCACCUCUCCUAGACCCACUUAAGAGCUGACUACCAGUAGGGAAGGAUCUCUCCUGGAGAUCUAGUCUGCUGGAGUUUUAUAAGCGAGCCUAGGGUAUGGGUAAGCUUUUUUUAUCUAGUCUCUUUCUGUUAUUAUAAUCUGCUUUACAUAACUCUCUUGUGUAUUUUGUAGCUGUAACAUCUUAGUAUUCAUUGAUUAUACACCUUGCUUCUACACAUACAUUUUAAGCCACAACUCGCUCCCUCACUCCUGUUUCUUCCCCCUCAUUUCCUAUCUGACAAAAUGGGGACUCCAGUCCUAUCCCUCUUCUUUCUUAAUUGCUCUUCUUCUUUAACCUCUGGGGUAACCAGCCUAUGACUAGCCCUUUUUCUAUCCAAGCCCAGUGCUCCCUUCCUCAUCCUACAGAGAUCCAUUUACAUUGGAGUUACAGGUAUAGUUGUGUUGAGUGCUAAUUGUAUUAGCAUCUCAUCACACUCUGGGAGCCAUGAGGGAUUCACCCACACAGACAUUAUUAAGAAUAUCUGCUGCCACCCGCCGUGCAAAUUCCCCUGGAAGAGAUUUCUGUAUGCCUUGAAGUCAGGAAUCUCUGAUCUUGAUGUAGGACUUGUGGGACUGUUGUGAAAAGAGAAGGCCUGAGUUUUUAGGUGUGACAGGUAUAUGUCGUGAGCGUGGAGUUGGGAGAGGAAUGUCUGUACAUAAGAUGCAAGAAUGUGAACUGGUCAUCCAUGGUAUUUUAGUGUCUGUAAUGUUUUGCUCCCUAUCUUAUGAAAGAAUCAUAGAAUGGCCUGGAUUGAAAAGGACCACAGUGAUCAUAUAGUUUCAACCCUCCUGCUAUUUGCAGGGUGGCCAACCACCAGACCAGGCUGCCCAGAGCUGCAUCCAGCCUGGCCUUAAAUGCCUCCAGGGAUAGAGCAUCCAUAACCUCCUUGGGUGACCAGUUCUAGUGUGUAACCACCUUCUGUGUGAAAAACUUCCUCCUAAUAUCUAACCUAAACAUCCCCUAUCUCAGUUUAAGAUGUCCUCUUGUCCUAUCACUGUUCACCCUCGUAAGCAAUCUUUCUCCCUCCUGUUUACAUGCUUCUUAUCAAUUUUGAACAUGAAGCAUUCACUUUUGCUUCAAAUUAACUGCGAGUACAAAGUAAAUUUCACUGAAGACAAUUUAAUCAUUUACAGAUAUGCUUGAAAUGAUCAUUUUUCUGUCAGCAUCAACAGCUAUCUUUAUUAUAGCUACUUUCUUGUUUUUAUAGUAUAGCAAUAUUUCCUUUUCUUUCUGAAAUAUUUGAAGAAUGGCAUUUCUGACAGAUCCCAAGUAGCUGGAAAUUGUUCAUAUAACUUACUGAAACUAAUUUGAGUAUGCUUAGAAUGGGUCAAUUAAACAGUUGAUGGAAAAUUUGAGUAAUAAAUUGAUCGUUGUUGAUUCUGUUAUGUUAGUAUGCUCUUUAUGCCAUUGCUACCCCCACAGAUAAAACUGCUAAUGCGCUUCUAAUACUCAAGAGGCAUGCUUCCCUGAUAAGUCAGUCUUUCAUAAACAAAGCAGUGUGAAUCAUGCAGAAAACUCGUGGAAACCUGUGGCCUGUUAUAGGAUAAGAUUGACUGGAAAAGCUUUCAGGCAUACUGGUAAAGCAUGCUCAGAUAGCAAGGAAACACGAUUUUUCGGAUCAGUCUUUGUAAAAGCUCUAUCAGUAUGUAUUCACAGAACUUUUUAUAAGGAGGAUGUGUCAGUACCUUAUUUAUAGGCACAUUUUAAAGGUAAGUACUUGUUUUUCCCACUGGUAACAUAUUCAGCAGGCAUGAAAGAAAGAGGCAGAAGCAUUUUAAAAGAUAAAGAUGGAUGAUCCAGGCAGUUGGAGUCAUGUAAGUGUUGACCAAGGUGAGCUAAAUGAAUCUCACCUCUCCUCAGAGCUUUGUCCUUUGGGAAGGUGGGAGACACAUUUUUUCCUGCUCUUGCCUUUCCAUCUUUGUCAAUAUUGUCUAUUUACACUGAUGUGUCUUUGGAAGAGAGAGGUCUGGAUCCAAUCCAUUAAGAUUGCAUAAGACCUCAGUUGAUGUUCAGAGAGGUAGGGGUAGGCCUCCAUAUCAUGCAUUGUAUCUUUAUAAACUGAACAUAAAGGAAGUCUAACUUAGAUGACACAAUAUUUAAGUUUGCUUGAGCUGGGCAGUCAGUUGCUCUAUGUGGAGCACUGAACUCUCUAAGAACAUCUGUACCACAAAUUAUUGUUAUGACUGUCUUACCUCCCAGGAUACAUGCUGGAUUUACUUUAUUUUAGGCUUCACUGUUGAUUAAAGGCCUUAAAUGAUAUAAAUACAUUUUGAUUGAGUUCAGAAGUGGAAUCUCUCCCUGCCUUUCUGCCACACUCUUUGUGAAUCUGACACUGCAACAGAGGGUAAUAUUAUCUUUCUUUAAUGAUACGUGUCUCAGAGUUGCUUAAUAGAAAACAGGGCCUUUUGCAAUUUUUAAUCUCUUUGUUGGUCCAGAAUAAAAAUUCUUGGCACCUAACCACGGCCUGUGACAAUUUCUACUCCUUCAGAUUAACCUAACCAUUUAAUUUCCUUACUCAAUUUUAAUGCCUUCCAAAUUAUAUAACUCUUGCAGUCACCUCCUACUUUAGAUCCAGUUUGGCCAAGCUAAACACACUUAAUGAUUUUAAUCUUUCUGCAUAAAUCAAUCUCUCAUUUUGCAUACUGAGGUUAUAUCAGUUGGACAAGAUGAAGGAAGCUCAUGUCAUAGAUUAACAUUCCCACCCUGUGUGUGCUUGCCUUCUUGCCAGAUGGCUGAGAAAAGAGAUUUUGAUCAUAUUGCUCGAUAAAAGCAGUCUUGGUUGGUCAGGACAGGAAUACUUCUUACUUCCUUUCAGAAAUAUAUAAAGCCCAGUAGUGGGGUAGUCCAGCAGCUGGAAUGUACUAAUAAAGGCAUGAAUGUCUAAAUUUCUGUCCCUGCUUCACAUUCUUUCACCUUUACUCCACUACUGUUGGAAAGCUACUUAGGAUAAGGUACUCAAAAGUUCUUGUACCCAGAUUUUCUCUUCAGCACCGUAAGAUCUGGCUCCUGCAUGGUUGCUCCAGGGAAAGCGUGGGUCUCCAAAGGUAUGUGCAGAAGCAGCCAUCUCCAGAGAGGCAGCCAUGAGGAAAUAUACAGAGAAAUUUUAAGCACCAGCCUAGAGGUGAGUCUAAUGUACUUCAUAGGAUUGUUAUCUGUGGAUGCUUUCCUCUGAAAGGGUUUAAUUUCUCAAAUGCAAAGGUGGGGAAUUGAAACAGAUUUGUGGGUAGCUGAACUGAAAACGUCCAAGGUGCUGGAGGGAGGGAUUCAUUGCUUUCCUCCACUUAACUGAGAACAAAGACUAGAAGGUUUUCUCAUCCUGGGGAGAAACCAUAGCCAUGCAUGAUUCUUCCCAACCCCUUUAUUGGGGCAGGUGCCUCUUGGAUUAUUGGUUGGUUAGGGCUUAGCUCUGGUGUAAUCGCCAGGAACUGCCAGAGCAUGAAUGGUGCCUUGAGAGUAUCCUCAGAAUUCAACGGCCCCCUGGUAUAAUUAGAUCUUGAGUGAACAUUACUGAUAAUCAAGGCAGAUAUGGGUUUAUGUGGCUGCUGAGCAGCCAUCUUGAGCCAUUCCUUAGGAUGAAGGAGUACCUCUGCAGAAUGCGCAGGAGAGUGAGGGCCCAACCACUCUACAUCAGCUCACCUGGCAGAUGGUGAUAACAGUGCUGGACUGACAUGCAGGGUGCUGCAAGGAUUAUUAAUAGAUUAAAAGAUUGUACGGUGGUCAGAGGUGUGUGAUGGGGGCUUUGUAAGAAGUUCAGAUCAAUAAAGGCUUGGCAGUACGAAACCUGGCUUAAGCAAUGCAAUAUUCAUGCUGUACUGAAAGCAUCAUCUAUCUCUUCAUAGCUGAAAAGACCCAAAUCAUUUUUGUUUUGCAGUUCUUGUAACAGAAGCAUUUACAUCUAGCUAAAAUAACUUUUGUUUUCAUUCUUUAUUCUACUUUUUUUUUUUGUUUGUUUAAUGGCAAAAUCGUAUUUAGAUAUUGGAUUUAUAAAAUUCAGGUUUCCCUUUUUCUUCGUGGGACAAAAAGUAGUACGAAUUAGCCAGCUUUUAAAAAAUUCUUUAGUGCUUUUUUUUUUUUUUUUUUGUCCACACUGAUAUUCCUUUCCAGCAUGGAAUGUUCACCUGCAGUGCUCAUUGUUUACUUAAUGCCAUCUGAUAAAUCGGUAGGAGCUGGCUUAAGCGCUUUGGUUUCUGUCUCUCAUUUUCUCAUCCUAACAAGUGAUGUGAGGAGAACUGUUACAGUCCACAGAAAGCUUACGGAGUAGACUGUGGUUGUUUUGUUUUAUAGAGUGAUGCUGUUAUUAAGCAUCUGACUUUUGUGUCAUAUCUGUUUAUAUGGUAAAGUGUAGUUCAAAUCCCAUCUUGGUUCCUGGUUACAAUGAUUUUCUUUUCAGCUUUGCAUCAGUAUUUAAGAAGGAGAAUUAAGGUAAUAUUAAAAACACAAAGUAUGUAGUUUGUAAAGUUGACAAACUUUGAUUAAGAUCAAAAUAUGGACUUCUCUCUUUUUCCCUGAUAUAAUCUGAAAAUCAUUAUAGAAUGCUGAAUGCUUGUUCUAGUGCUCUUCCUUGUAACUUUUACUUAUUCUAAUUCUUAAGGCCUCAAAGUCUUGUGUUUGUUCUCUGUCAUUCAUUAGCACAUGUGGGAUUGGAAUCUGUGGGAUUACUCUGUUAAAAACAGAAUAUUUUCAUCUCCAGAGAUGUCAAGCUUGUGAGAGUGUUGAUUUAUGUUAAUGUCAUAUGUUGAAGGAGAUGGAUGAGAAAUAUUACUUUUCUCUUUUCAAUUAAUGAUCAAUUGCAUGGACAGCAUUUAUAUACUCUAUGCUUGCUUUGCUUCAUCUGCUGUGCCCAGGCAUCGCUUGCAUUUAGUGGCUCUCUGCUGGUUGGGCACUGGGUAGCGUAUUUUUCAUGGCACAAGUCAAAUUCAAUUUAAAUUGUUCUUUUUAACCCUGAGGUGAUGUCUUCAAACACCUCUAACUAAUUAUUUUUCUGGUUCUUUCAACAGCAUGUCUACAGACAAACAGAGCUUGUUUGCCUUAAUAGUGUAUGACAUGACUGUGUGGUUUUAUUUCACCUUGCAUAUUGCCCAUUGCAUUUUAAUUUCCAUCUGGAGGAGCGGAACUUGUCUUUGCAGAUCUUUGUAACAAGGAUUACAGUGGUAUGAGGCAAAAUGAGAAAUGUGCUCAGUGCUUGAGCUGCAUUCUGUUGGGAGGUAACUUGCUCCCAAGUAGAAUGCUUUCUACUUGAUGCAUACAGUGAUGUCUCUCAUUUUCAGCACAGUACUUUGCUCUUAAAAAUUAAAAAGGAGACCUGGAAAGUGGUAUGAAACAUAAAAUAAGCUGAGCUGGUCAUCUGGGCUAUCUUUAAAUAGGACUGUAUGGAGAAAUAGACCAAGAAGGAGAAUCUGAUAGGCAACUGGGAGCUUAAGCUUCCAAAGUGAUGGCAAGGAAACUGAGAACUUGAGAUCUGGUGAGUGAGUUGGUGUUUAUUGUAGUAAAAUGCCCCAGAAGCUGAGAAGCUGGAACCCUUGACAUCCUUAGACACCCAGUAGGAGGAGUGGCGGGACAGCAGUGAAGUUUCUGAGAAAUGUCUGCUUUUCAGUACAGGUUAGCUCAAAAAUCUUGGUUUUGACUAGUUAGUAGUUACCAAUGAAAAUCUGUUUUAUUGUGAAUUUCCUAAUGAAGUCCAGUGGAAUUAUUGGCAUGGUAAUAUAUGAACAAGUUCCUGAAAAGGGUAAAAGUACAGAUAAUGUCUAGAAAAGGCUAUAUUAAACUCUGCCAUUCAUUUGAUGUACAUCCUGAAGAGUGAAAAUUACUAGAGUUGAUUACUCCCAUGAAUGUAUCUCUGUUGAAUGAACCUGCUCAAAUGUCUUUUUCUUUUCUGUUGCUUUCUCUCUGUUUUAAAUUACACAGACUUAAAUGAAGCUGCAAUGGGUUUUACCCGUAAGUUCCUCUGCUUUUCUUUUUGGUCAUGGAUUGAACUCCUAGUCUCCUGUGACACUGUUGUAUACACAGUUGUAUCCUUCAUUUUAACUGUUACUUAUUGGGAUCAGAGCGUCUUCUAUUUGUCCUUUCUAGAACAGGCAGUAGUGGAAGAGUGCUAUAAUGCCACUAUAGAGCCUACUUUUUAACUGAAGUGACAUUUGGCAUAUGUAUCCAUAUGUACCCAUACAUAUCCUUAUAACCAUAUAAUCCUGGAUGUGUCUUUACGUAGCAAAAGUUCACCUUCAGACGCAAGUAUUAUUGGCAGAGACUGUUAGAGAUUAAUUUAAUAAUCAGAUUCAUUCUCCCCUAUUAAAAUGAUGCUUAGAUAUUGGAUGACAUAAACUUUCUUUCCCAUAUGAUCUUAAUUUUCAUAGUAAGUCACCUGGGAUUUGCAGAGUCCUAUUAAGAUGUGCUAAGAAGCUCCUUGAGUCCUGCCUGGCAGAAACCUGGAGCUGCCUAAGGAACCUUCCAGUAAAUUGGCUAUGUAAAAACAUCAGAGAAGAAUCUAACACUGAAGAAACUGGCUUAUUACAGCUCUUUUGCUUUAGGGUGGAUGGGGUUUUUCCUUUUUUUUUCCCUUUUUUUUUUUUUCUCCUGAUGACUCCCCUGGGUGAAUAGGAGACUGAAAAAGAAGCAUGAGCUCAAACCGUGACUAGACCUAAUCUUUCCAAGGAGCAGAUGGUCACAGCUUUGCAUCUUCCCUCCUCUGCACCAAAUGGAGUGUGGGGACAAUGUUUGGAGAUGCUGCAAUUUAAAGCAGAAGACUGUUAUUUCAGAUCUGCAAUGUGAUUUUUCAGUAGUACAGCUCUGGAACUGAGCAGAUUCUAGGGUAUUACAGAUGCCAAACGACUUUCCAAGAGUCAGAAAACAAAGCAGCAACUGUGUUACCACAACUACGGCACAACUGAUACCUUUUGAAAAGCCACUGGUACUAAAGAACCUGCCCUUGUUAAGGAGAUUUUAAAACUCACCUCUUGAGUCUUUCAACAUAUGGUGCUCAGCAGAGCUUAAAAGGUUAAGAGCUACCCAAACAAAAUAUUCACUGUCCAGUAGCCCAGGAGCUCAUUAUCCUUAAGUACUGCAGUGUUUAUAAGCGUGCUGAGGAGGCAAAGGACAUGAAACGUACUUCUACCUUCAGAAGGGGAAUUAAUGUAUUACCAUUCAUUCCUUUUAAAGAUAAUAUUGCUUAUUUAGGAAGUGCUAAAGUACAUGAUGUCUUUACUGAUUAAAUUUCCUGUGUAAGCAAAAUGUUCAUAAAGUUACAUAACUGCAUUUUUCUUCCUACUUCAUUGCUGGCAGCUUCAGUACAGGCUUUGCUCUGUCAUCACCUCUGAGAGAUCUGAUAGCAAGGAGAAAAAAAGCAGAGGGAGAGCAGGGGAAUUGCAGAUUGAGGAGUGAUGCUGUUACUGCAAAUCCUUCAUUCAAACUCCCAUGAAUUUUUCUUCCUUCCUUCCUCUUGCAUCCCAUAACAGACCUAGGUUCUCUGUGGCCUUAUGCUUCCCACCUCAUUAGUGGGUCAUUAGUGCUGCUCUGACGCAACAAAGUUCUAGAAGUCAUUUCCCUCUGAGCCUGUAUGAACUGAGCCAGAAACUGAGACCACCUUAAAACACCCUGAGUGAUGAUUAGAAAGUCAAGCCCCGAAGCUGUUAUUAGGGAACAUUCAGUCUAGAAAUUAGAAAUGGUAAGGAAUAUGUAUGAGGAGAGAUUUCUUUGAAAGGCUCUAAAAGCAUCUUUGUCUGCCAAAAGUAUUCCGUAAACAAUUUGUUGUCUUGCGUUUAUGAGUCGCUGGAGGGGAGGAGAUGCGAAUCUGCUGCAUGGAUCUGCAAGCAGUGAGGAGUGACAAGUGCGUCACACUCUAUUUGUUCUGUGAUAUGCAUACAAACUAUGUUGAAAACCUUUUGCCCCAGGAAUCAGAAAAAGUCGUUCUUAGGCCCCAUUCUGCCUCUUAAGGAAUCAGAAACAGUCCUCUUUCAGCAGAUACAGAAGGUGUCAGUCUUCUAUUCAGUCUAAGCUUUUCUCUGAAGUGCAGCUUGUCUUGGUUUUGGCAGCAAUUAGCAUUUUGUCUCAGUGUACAUGGGGGACUUGCUCCAGAUGAUUUACAAACAUCAGGAGAAAGAAGGGAGUUGAUGCUGUUUUUGAGUUCCCACCAGCUCUUCUUUUUUGUUGCAGAGUAAUAAAACGGGUGUUUUUUUUUUCCCGAUGAGCACAAAUACUUGUCCAAAAUAACUUAAAUUAUUUAUGAACUUGACUCCAUUCAAACAUUUCUUUUUAAGGCACCAUGUGAAAGCUCUUAUUUCUUCCAUGAAGGAUAUUUAUCAUCAGCUCUGCGAAUGUUUUGGUGGACCAAAGGGUGGAGUAUUCUGUUUUGCUUGUUUGGAUUGUGAAACAGGAAUAUCUGUAACGUGACAGGGCAUGAAAGAGGGUGAAAUGAAUUAAGGCUCUUCUUUAAUGAAUGGACUUUUGUUUAUAACAAAUACAAUAAAUAAACUGUGGUAAAUCCACUUUCAGUAAAUCCAAAGGAUGGUUGAUGCAUAUAUUUCAUAGGGAUGUGUGGUGGCAGACUAGAACUGGUGAUAUAUCAUUCCAGAUGGGCUUUUUCUUUUUUCUUGAUACGUCAUUCCAGAUGGAAUUCUAGAUUCCGCAGAUGAGUCUUUUUGUUAUCAUAUUUCGGCUGAAAGAACUGCUGUGCUGUAGAGCUGAUGUGAUAUGUACUGUUGUUUAAUCUGACUAUGCCAGCUCAGAACCUGGAAAGACAAGUAUAUUCUCAAGCUGGAUGCUUCAGGAGUUGUCUAACCAAUGUCAAUCACUUAGUCUUUAACAUAAAGGGGAUAGGUUUCUUCCUGCAAAAUUACUUGCUAAACUGGAUUGGAGUAAAUGGACCACUGGAUAUUCCAUGCUGAGUGUGGAAGUCCUGAGCAGGCAUUUACCAAUAAAACAUAUGAUUAUGGCCAAUGCUUUAUUCAAAGAUUUGUAUUUAUUUAGCUGAGGAGUCCCUUUAGGCAAAUGUUGUGGAUGACUGUCCCUUAAAAUUUAAAUCAUAAAUUAAGGUAUCACCACAAUCUACCAUCAAGAGAAAAUGAAAGGGAUCUGUAUCCAAAUAUGAUGGAAAUUGUGACUACUUGCCUCUCUAAGUAUUUGAAAACAUUGAAUUUUGCCAAGAAAAUUGUGCCAAAAAUACAGGUUAUUAGAGAGCAAAAGCUGUAAGAAAGCACAGGCAUUACAAUGGAUCAUUUUGCUUUAACGAUCUUUCCAGGAAGUACAGCUUUUGAGCGGAAACUUACUAUUUGUUGUAUAGGGGCUUACAAACCCACUUGGGUCAGAACCUCAUGGACACCUAGCCAUCUAAUUUCUUGUGAUGAUGCAAGUUUAUGUCACUUUUUGUUUUCAGAUGCAUCUCAAAGAGUACUAAUAGUGUCAGUGGGUCAGCUUGCAAGGGAGAAGUUCAAGGUGGCUGAUGCACUCUGUGUGUUUCUGUUAAUGUCAGAAAAUGCUGGAGUUGAACUCUAUAAUUCCAAUCCCCAAAUAAAUAUCUGGUAUUUCUGAUUGCCAUUGAGUUCCUCAUAAAAUCCCAUACGUACAGUGCUAUUCAAUAUCUGGGAUCCCUGAUUCCCAGAAAGUUCCUUUGAAACACGCUGCUAGCCAGGGUAAGUAUUUCUGUGGGAUAUGUGGCAAGAAUAGUGCUAAGAUAUCUGUGGACAGAUUUUACUGUUGAAAGUAUGAUUGGUGAUCCCUUUCUACCAGAUUUUGUAUUAACUUGAUGGUAGGCAUCCAGUUCCAGCUGCAGGCACUGACUCAUACCUGUAGAAAUACCUCUCACUGAUAGUUCAUGUGCUCAGUGAGGCAACAAACUGCAAAUGAACUCAAAAUCAUCAAUCAAAAUGACUUCGCUAACUUGUUCCUAACUUUGAUUGACCCUACAUUUUCAGGGCUGAGAAUGCAAAAUGCAAGCUCUGUAGCUCAGGGUUUAAAGUUUGGAUCAGAUAAGACAUACUGUUCCUUUGCUUUCACAUAGAGGAAUAUAAUUAUAGCCAAAUCUCUACUGUGAAAACAUAGUGAGGUAGAACAUGAAGUUCUUGCAUGUGUAAGCAUAAACCCCAUCUUCUAUAGGUUUUUUGACCUAAUCAAGCAGGCAACUGAAAGUUUUCAAGAAUGAGAAAGUGGGAACAUAGCCGAAGAGAAUGUCCCUUGUCAUUUUUUAAAGGACACUCAGAAUUUUUACCCUAGCAUUUGCACAGCUCUUUUUGGGCAUAAUAGCAGAUCUACCUAACGUAACUGUAGAAAAGAUUUAGCAAAACUUCCCAUUCUAGUCUGAUCAGGAUGCAGACAGGCACUUAAGGUCAUUGGCCUGAUCCACCUUGCUGCUAACAGUACCCAUUUUGAGAUCAAAGGUGUCCUCGUGCCCGCAAGCUCACAGGGCUCCCCAGUUCCCAGCAGAUAAGCAUUGGCUGGCUUUCUUUUUCAGAUUGGCUUGUGCAAAUGUACCACUCAUGACUCCCACAUACAAUUGGAGUGAAAUAGACUGUUGGAAGGUGCAGUGAUCCAUCUUGAGCACAGAGCCCCUCUGUUGUGCAGAACAUAAUGAGCACUUGAACAUGCAUAAGUUAUGCAUAGCUCUGCUCCCAUCCAGCCUAUGGGACGCAGGUUUAUGUAGCAGCGAACAUAGCCAGCAGUGUGCCCAGGUAGCCAAGCAGGUUAGUGGCAUCCUGGUUUGAAUGUAUAGUGUGAGAAAUAGGGUAAGGAGGGUGGAAAUGAGACUCCUUUCCACAACUACUGUCAUCACACUGUGCUCUGAGCUGAGCUGCCAUGGAUGAUGUAACUGAGACAAUCCCAAAAUACGGAAUUUCUACUUUAUAAAAAGUCAAUUGACCUUUGACUUUUUGAAGACCUUGAUCUGCUUUACAGUUGAUACUGACAGGGUAAAUUGAUAGAACUAAGGUAACUUUGCUCAUAGUUGUUACAGAAGGCAAACAAUUGUGUGGAAAAUGGCCUCUUGUGAUGUUGCAUCAUCCUGUGGUGACUUACUGGUAGUCACUGUGAACUUGUUGCUUUGGCUAAUCUGCUGAGCAGCCCUAACAGAAACAAAGAUGUCCUUCUUAUUCUUAUGUGUAUUUUUUCUUUUAAGUGCAUGGAAAUGGAAUUGAAAAAAUCAUCAAUGUAUUUUUAAGGAUAUUACCAGUGUAUGUAGAGGAAAAAAAAGCUUUUUGAACCGAAGUUCUGGAUUUUCUAGGAUUUCCAUUGCAUUUUAAGAAAUGGAGGUAAAAGUGUUCAACAUAAUACAAAUUUCUAGUCAAAUAAAAUGUAUGAUGCUGCAAGGUUAGGGUUUUAUUGUUAUUUUUAAAAUUAAAGUAGAAAUCGAUCUCAGUCAGAAAUCAUUUUUACUGUCUUCUUGUACGGUUUGUAAUAGGGAAGUAAAUCUGCAGGAAUAAAUUGGGCUGUUCUUCUGCUUCAUUAGGACUUGUGAAUAUCACACUUGAUUAUGAUCUCGGCCCUUGCUCUUGCUGCACCAUCGUCAGUCACAAACUCAGGCAGACAGGUGAUCAAAUUCUUUAAAGGCAUGGAACUAACGUGGAAAAUGACCCACUGCACCCAGAGCCAGUAUCCUGGGCAGUCAAAAGACUGACACAAUAUUCACUGGUGGAAAGUUUCUUUCAGUUGUUUUUAUGAAGCUCUGAACUUGCUGGUCUUUUGCUUCUCUCUUUCAGUUCUAACCCCAGUGGGCUUUUUUAGUUGCCUCUGUGGCUCAAGUGCCUUUCAGGAAAGCAAAAUGGUGGCUUAAUACAAUGCCUCCAAAUAGUAGGUUCAGGACACUAAAUUAAAGAAAUUGGUUUGAAAUAAUAUCUUUGCAUUCAGACAGUUGCCCAUGAAGGUGCAGGCAAAUACAUUGUCUAUGAGUCCUCCAUGUGAAUGAUAAUGGCUUAGGAUUCCAUGUGGAUAUAAACCAGGUUAUAAGUCGACAGCUUACUCACAUUCAAGCCCUGCUUGAUACAUACCAAGAGAAACCUACUUAGAUCUUCUUGGAAAGUAGAUGUCCCCUUUUGUGGCAGCUGGUAAGAUUCUGAAACAUUCUUUUAUUUCUUGCUGAGAGAAAACCAAGCUUUUUCAAAGAUGUUCACCAAACUGAGUUGUGUGAACGUGUCACAUUUCAUCAAAAUUGGAACUGUUUGGGAAGGAUUACAUGAGUCUGUUCUCAUGCACUUUCUCUUCCUCUCUCUUUUACAUUUUUCCCUACUCCACCCUCCUCCCUCCUUCCUGUCAAAAUAGUGAGUGACCACUUCUGUUUUGCCAAAAGGGCAAAAUUCAAUAAAGUAAAAAAUUUGGCUGUCUCUAAAUAUGUUCUUUCCUGUACAGCUUAGCAUCAGGACAAAAAUACCUCCCCUGCUGCCCAUGAGCAGCAGUAAUGACUAAAGUAUUAUACAACAAAAAAUAUUCCUGUUAAAACUACUGUAGUAGUUAAAACUACUAUAUUUUUGGGGCUAUAGAGGCAGGCAGCAGUAUCCUUUCCUUGCCCUCUCUCCUACCCCUGUACCACACCAAAUCAAAGGCCAGUGUAGCUGGAGCUUGUGAAUCCCAGCGCCUCCUUCCUUGGCUGUGUAUCCUCUUGAUGAGAGAUGAUCAUUUUAGGCAGGAACAAUGUAGGGCAAUCUGUUUUCAGAUUUUCUAAAUAUUUCCCAACUUCCAUUGCAUGCUGUUGUCUUCACACUGCAAACUCAUGCCAAGAACUCCCCAACAGCAUUCUUCUCUGGCUUCCCAAAUUACUUGGAGAACAAAUAAACCUUUCCCUGAGUCACUGAUUUCUGCAAGAAAGCAUUUAUGUUUAUUAUAUAUGAAGGAAGAAUCACUUGACUGCACAUUUUACAGCUUGCUGCUUUCCAGUGAAAGCCAAAAAUAAGGAGAUCUUUGACAGCACAGAACUGCUUCCUCCUCUGCAUAUUUCUAGCUGUGAACAAUACUUCUUGCUUCCCUGAGCAGCCAGGGUACUGGCUGGAAUUGCCUAGCAAUUUCUAUCCUCGUCAAGCCCGUAGAGCUCUAGGACACGUUAUGGCUUCUGUAACUGGUUUUAGUGCUUGGCUGAAAAGCUUUUAAUGUAAUAAACACUGUGUAUGUGGUCCAAUUGCACAGGAUGAUAGGUUCUUCUGUAUUUCAUUGAUCCAUUCUGAAAUUAGUACUGGAACAAUUUAGGAGACUCUAGAAUCAAAUAGGAGAGGACUUCUUUUGACCAUUAAAAAAACACUUAGUAAUUAAGUUUGGACCAUAGAAAUUUUCAGUACUUGUCAUCAGAAGUACUUGAGGUGAUCACAGUAUGUGUUAACAUUUGAAAUGCUUACAGCAUCAGUAAAAGUUUUCCCUGCCCUAUCUGUGUGCCUUUGCGUCUGGUGUGGCUACAUUCUGAGCACACAUAACCCUGAUUGCCUCCAAUUUUCUCCGCACUGCUCUAGCAGAUAUGGACAUUUAUAUUUCUGUGCAUUUUUUCCUCUGGGUCAAUUCAUCACUACUUUAUCUGUUGGUAAAGAGCUAUUAGAGCCGGUGUCCCACCAUUUGGUGUUUGUGUUACAGCUCUCCCACUUUUCAUCAAGCUGUUCCAGAACAGAAAGCACAAUUCAGUGAUUAAAGCAAAGAAGGGUGGUUAAUAGACAAUGAUUCUGUUUAUCAAAAGGGCGUCAGAAGCUGCCACAUAGCCAUGCUGUAGACCAUUACUCAGCCCUGUGGUGUGGCUCAGGAUGCAAGUGCUCAACAUCAGGAAAAACAGAGUGAAUUUCCUUUCCACUCAAAAUUUUGUGUGCCUGAAAGGUCAUCUGAUCUUUUGUCUCCUAGGUAUAUUGCCUGAUUUAAAUCACAUGCUGCCUCUCCUAACAGCAUUACUUAUAUUUUUGUGAUAGUUUUACAGAGUGAACACAGUGAGAUUGGUGUACAUUCUGAGGUGUGGAGAGUUCAUUUACCUUUAGAUUUGAAAUCACAUUACCACAGCCUAGUGCCCAAAAUCUGAACAACUAAACUAAUAUGCUCUAAUACAGGCACCCAGAUUCUGAUGCUAAAAGGCAUCUGAUAAUUUUCAUAGGCUUCUACUGCCUAAUGUCAGCCAAAAUGUCUGCUGUUUUCCUAUUGCUUAGUACAAAUGGGCUAUCACAAAUCUUAAUUUGCCAUCCUUACAAAAUGUGUCAGUGUACUUACUGUUACACUGAUAUGAAACAUCAUCUCCUUUGUUUUAGAAUAGUUGUUUUUUAGAAUUAUCUUUUCAAGGUGAAAUGGCUGUACUUUGCUUCAUGUUUGUCUGCUUGAUCCCAAUAGAAGCUGAAGAAUCGUAUUUCUGACUGUUCUUUGUGUAGGUUGGGUGUGAGGUUAGCAGAGGCUGCAUUUCGGUCUGCACUGUCUGCUGAUGCAUUAUUUUGUGCUCUGGAUGAUCCUACACCAGUUGUUCUGCUUUGCUGCAGCAGUGAGUAGCCCAAGUUUAAGUCCAAGGAGCAGAAACUUUAUAUCUGCAUUUGGAUCUGCUCCUAUCUGCUCUAACCAAGUAUGUGAUAGCCUUUUAACAGAGUACACUGCAGGUUUCUCCCCUGCGUUAGCCAGUAUAUGGCUGUGGACGCUGUGGGCCAUGAAAGCAAAUCCUCUUGAGAAAGCCUACUGCUAAACUCACUCAGUAACUCUUCAGAGGAGCAUGAACACUGUUUUUACAGCUGAAUCUCAUGCAAGGCUUAAACUAUGGGCCAUGGGUCUAAGAGAUGGCUCCCUACCGUAUGUUUUUGUUGCACAGAACAAGGUCAAAUCUUUCCAAGAUUGGUGUUAUGUAACUAAAAGCCUGCACAGUGCUUUAGAAAAACAAAAGAAUCUCCAUUAUUAUAAGCACACGAGCUAAAGUAAAUAUAGUACAGUUCAACAGUUGAUUUGGAAAUUUUCACUGUUUCCAUAGUUCUAAAGCCCAGGAAUUUGAAUAAUUUUUGAAGAAAUUAAGCAACUGUAGCUACAGUGGGCAACCUCAUGCAGUAGAAAACUGACCAUUCAGAAGAGCAAUUUUUGUGUUGCAAAAGAACUUAAUUUUCUGCUUGCUGUCUCCUUCGAGAAACCUGCACACUCAGUACUUGUGCAGUCCUGUCGGGGAGCGAUCGAUAUGCAGCUGCAUUUUGUGCACGGUUCUGGAAUUUUGUUCUCCCACUCACCCCUUGGCAUUUCACAAUGAGCUUUCUUGUGCUGAAGCAAGGACGGCCUCCACAGAACAUGUGUUUCUUCAUCACGUGGAAUUAUCAGAUCCGGUCCUUUUUCUAAUCAGCUGAGCUUUUCAGUGUGUACCGGGUGUCAGGCAAACAGAGUGGCUCACAAAAUCAGCUCAGGUGACUCUUUAAGGAGGCUUCUAGUGUCUGUAAUUUGAUGCUUGUGUUUUCCUUUCUUUGAAGCACACCUCACUUCCCCACUUACCAAGCAGCACCAUGGCACCAGUUCUGUACAAAAAUGAGGUUACGCUCCUUUAUCAGCAGUGAGUGCAGUUUCAUUUCAACAUUCAUGCCACAGAAAGCUGUGCAGGAAUAUAUAGGUUGAACACCUGCAAGACAACAUGAGGACUUAGGGAGCGGGUAGUGUGGCUCACUUGUUUGAUGUGGGAGUUGGGCACAUCUAGCCCUGGCAGACAGUGCCUAAGCAUAUGCAGACUGGUAGAGCUCUGCUAAAUUCAGGGGUACUGCAUCAAUUUCUAAAAUAUGAGCACAGUGACUAGCAAAAUUCCUUUUCUUGAGAGGGCAUUUCCUAGCCAUUAAAUGCCAAAUUAUCCAGAUUAAAAAAAUCUUGGUUUGCUUCCUGUGUUGCUGUGGGUAGUUAAUGAGCAAUGGUAUGUGGCUGCACCACCCUCUGGGGUUUAAUCUCUAUCUCACAUUAAUAGUUACACCAUAGAGGUCCACUGGAUGGAGAAUAUUCCCUUUCAAAAAUCCUUCUUACACCUCUGUAAACAGGCUGCACCUCUGUAAACAGUUUACUAGAGAAAUUAGGUGAGAAAGGAGGCAUAACAGAGCAACUGGUUCAGCUCUUUGAAAUUUUGGGAGGGCUGUGACACAGUCUGCUUUGCUGAAGAGACAGAGGUACAGGACUUGUGUCCUGCAGGCUGCCAGUAAUGUGGCCUCACCGUGGACUGUUUCAGUCUCCCAUUAGGGAGUCUUGUGCACAGGGACUGUGCUGCUGCAGGGGCUGACAGCUGGGGCAUGGGCCUGGCUAAGAUCUGCUCCCUGUGCUGGUUAAAGCCAGUCUGGAGAUGCUCACUGCUGGGCAGUGUCCUGAAGUCUGAAUGAGUUAAAUAUAGGAAUAACAGAUGGAAGAAUAGAGGCAGAAGAGGGAACCCGAGGUGACGAGAAGACAAUACUGGUGAGAAGCACUGUUUUUACCAGUUUCAGUCAGUUUUCCCCACUUCUCCACUAAAAUUCUGUUUGGAAAACAACCUUUUUUUCUUCUCCUGCUGGGCUUGUGAUUACAAAUAAAAAUGUAAGCAUGUAUGUGGCCCUCUUGAAUCACAUUUUCUGCAUAGCUUUAUUGAAUUGGUAUCUUCCAUACAAGGCAAGGUCUUUUCAGAAAUCUCUUUUGUCACUAAUGUUUUCCAUAAGCCUGCUGCCAGCAUUCAAAAGUCAGUGUUGAAAUAAUGGAGAAAAAUGGCAGUGCCAAGCAGCAUGCUGUGUUCCUGGAAACCAUGGGUUAAAAAGAGAAGUUUUUUGGCAGCUGAUUGAAAUCUAAGCAGCAUUUUUCCGGUGUGUUAUUUCCCCCAUUUGUUCUCUCUUCACUAAUAUUUAACAGGCUUUUAUUGAUUACAGAGGCAGAUUUGUACUGUAGGUGGAAAUGUAAGGUUACUUUUUUGUCCAGUAAUUGGUGGCUAUAUGUGUAUCUGUGUAUAAUAAAUGUUUCACAAAUCAGUGCUGGAAGAAAUCACAUCCUGGCACAGUUAGCUGUAAAGGCAGAAUAGCAUUAGUCAUUCUUAAAAAUAUACAUCUCAAAAUCUAGGUAAAUUCUCCAUGGAGACGUGUAGAAAGUCCCCACUGCUGCUGCCUAACAAUUGCAUCUGAGCCUAGUCAUAAACUCAGCUUCACAAGUGUUGUCAGCUCCCUCUGGGUCUGCAGUCAGGUCAGCCAUCUCUCCCCUGGUAAAGUGAGAGUGCUUCAGAUCUUAUCUGCAGCAAGUCUCUUUCACGUUCAGCUGACAGCUGCAGAUCUGCUUUGGCUUGGGUUAUUUGGACUUCCAUCCUUAGGGAGCACUGUAAGUUCCCACAUGUCCCCCUGCUUCCCUGUUUAAGUCCCUCAGGCACCAUUCCCUGCAGAGUUUUGAUUGUGUGUGCAAUGAAACUCUCAUUUCCCAGCUGGGCACAGACCUCUAGGAUUUUUUACAGAUCUCUAGCUGAGAUUUUUAGUGAAAUGGAGAAGACUAAUGAAGCUGAUAUAAAUUUGUUAAUUUAUAAAAUUUUCACACAGUUCAUUUCUUUUUGACUGAUCUAUUCCUUGAAAUAAUUAUUAAUUUGCUGUUUCAACUUAUUUCACCGUUCACUCCUUUUUUCUUUUUUCAUUUUCCUGCCAUUGUUACAGUUGCUUCUGCUAAGCUUCUUGUGUCCUCAUGAGCUUUUGCAGAAAGCUCCAUUUCCAUACUCCAUGAUUCCCUUAAUUCUACACCUAAGUGAAAGUGUGUAAUUCUCACAACAUGAAGGGUGACAGAAGUCUCAUCCUCAGUUAGCCCCUGCCUGAAUUUGUAACCUAAUUCUACAACAUGUUUAAAAACACACGUGCUGUUCCCUGCCUGACAGGCCUGCUAUUGCCUAUGGGCUUGGCUAGCUACUGGCAUGUUUUCUUCAGCAAAAGUUGCUAUCAAUACUUCUCUUGAUAUUGUCAAAAUGCUGUAUGCCAAUGUUGGUGAUGUUAUCAAAGAAAAGUGAAAUCUCAUUGAAAUGCAGUACUAGGUUUGUUUGGUAAAACUUAUCUUCCUUUUGCACUCUAUUUACAUUGUUAAUAAUAAACUUUUGCUCCAUUUCUGCCAUAACUUUGACUGAAAUGUUCCAAUUGUUGUUAAGUGUGUUACCUCCUUAAUUUGUUUUUUUUUACUACUCAUACAAAGCUAAUGUACUUUCUGAAAUUUUGUGAAAUUUAAUUCACAACUAGCAUCUCAUUUAGCUCUUGGCCUUUUUUUUCUUUUUUUUUUUUUUUUUUUUUUUUUUUUUUUUUUUUUUUUUUUUUUUUUUUUGGUAUGAAUCACCUUAAACUACUGAUGCGAGAAUAUUUCUCUACUUUCUUGAUUUCUGGCUUUCUUGCUUUCCUACUUCUUUGUUAUAAAUUGAUUGGAAAGAUUUCAUCAUUACCAGUCAGCUUGCUCCUGAUUUUCUUCAAUGUUGGGAAGUUAGCUCUUUGGACACAAAUUAGAAAUGCUAUAGAUUGUCACUUUUUCUGAGUUCCUAUGAUUUGUACACAACACCUUUUUAUGAAGACAUCACAAGUGGUAGGGAGAGGAAAUGGACAAUUCCCCUAUAUGCUGUAUCUGAGCUUCUCCCUGGACACUGCUUCAGCCUCUCUUACCAACACCUCUCUUUUUUUCGCUCCUUCUCCAGUCCCACUAGGAUGUCAAUGCUGAAAAGUUCAAGGUGCACUGAUGGUGUUCACCUCUGCAGACAGCAGGUCUGCCACUGACAAAUGUCACACUGUGCUUCCCAGCAGUCCAGGGCCAAAGGUGGACUGCAGUAGGCAACAUGAGCAUUUAGGACAAGACAUCAAAUGCCUUCCACGAGUAGGAAAUUUAAAACAUGUUGGUAAUCAUUGGUGUUCAUAGUUAUAACCAAUAUUGAAUUCCUUCAGCAACCGUCUAUGUCCUCUCUUUCAUUGUUCUUUAUUUCCGUUGCAAAUAGCUUGCAACAAUAAAAAUGAAGAAAUGCCAAAUUUGUGUGGCUCUUCAAAAAAAAUUCUUGCCUUGAAAUUAAGUUCAGUUGAAAACUCUGAUCAUCCUCUCCAGAUUUUGUGCAGGCCAGAUGGGCUAGUGCUGUCCUUUGCUGUGAAGAUGUCCUUACUGUGUGUUGCUUUUCUUUCCUCAUGAGAGGAAGAAAUAGAUCAAAAUCUUCAUGUCUCCCUCCUGUUUUGCAGAAACUUCCUCCACUGCCUUCUUAGUGUGGAAUCCCUCAAGGCCAUAUGUGUAAUGAUCUAUUAACUGAUGUUAGCCAAUAUCUUGGUCUCAAAAUUCAUUGCUUUCUUUCCUUACAGUUCUGUCCUCAGGUUCUUCAGGCUUUUCUUCCUUUCUCACUAACAAGUGUUCAUUAUUUCUCCUUUAAACCCCAGAGCAUCCCCUGGUGGAUUUUUGUAUCUUUUAAUUUCCUGGAAGGAUAUGAAGGGUCUAAAACUAAAAGCUUUGCUUGCUCUUAUCCAGGAGAUUACAGAAGGGAAUUGGAUAAAAGCGAAGGUUGAAUACUCAGUGCUUUGCCAUCAUCAUCAGCAGUGUACAUUUGGUAGAAAAUAGCAUUCUCCUUAGGCAGUGGGGUUUCAAAACAUUUCCCAGGCAUUAGAAAUUCAGGAAUGAAAUUCUUUAGACAUUAUUCUCUGCGGCCUGAAGUUCCUUUUUAUUUUGCUGGAGACGGAAAAGGGAAAUAGAGUAUUUGGACUCCCCAACUGACAUAUAAUCAUUAAAGAAACAGGGACUGUCCUUAUCACAUGCCUUUUCCUUCAUUGUUGCUCAGACAUUAUCUAGACAUUGACUAUCCUAUAGCUCACCAACAGAACUUGCAACCUACUCUUGUCAACUAUGUGUAACAUUUAAAGGUUUCUGAAUACUUUGGUAUCUGAACAUUUAAUAUGCCUGAGCUGGUUUUCCUUGCCUGCUGCCAUGGGAAAAAUCCGGUGUGUUGGAAGAGCAAGACAGAAUUACAGGUCAGACUCUUGUUUAUCCUGCAGUGAGCUGGUCAGAAGAAUAGUAAUGGAUGGUUUUUGAGAAUAAGAUACUGACCAAUACCAGAGAAUAAAUCACAGUUUUUUUCAGGCACACCAGGUGUUGCCUGAGACACUGUGAACCUCUUUCAGUCCUCUGGAAGACUGAAGGAAACCUCAGGGGAAGUACUUUAAGCUUUGAGAAUUCACUGAGCCCUGCUUGAAAGGAGCUGAAGGAAAAUCAGUGCUGGUUGCAGUGUUGUGGGAAGCUGCAAGCAGGGAGCUGUAUCCUGCCCAGCAACGGGGCUGGUUGUGUAUGCUGCUCUUUUAGAUGAUGGAUGGUGGGAAGCUGGGUUUAACACAGACAUCACAGUUACUCUGGCCUUUUGAAAAUUCAUCACUGUGAACACUGUUGAUACUAAUUAUUCUGUAGAAAUUGCAGUGAGUAACCUUGUAAGACUGUUGGAUUGUGUUUACAACUGAGAAGGACUGCCUAAAGGAUAAAGAUGUAUCUUUCUUUUUCCACAACACUGAUUGAACUCUGAUAAAACAUGUUUUCACUUGUUUCUUCGAUGUACCCUUACACCAUGAGAUGAAUAAAUUACACAGUAGGAAGUAAAUGAGAAGAUUUUAUACUGAUAACUGUGUGCAUGCUUCAGUUUUCCCUAGUGUUUUGCUUUGCCAUAAUCCCUGCUUUAAAAUAAAUGAGCACAGUUGUACAUCUCUACUCUCCCACAGUAUAAAACAGAUCUUUUCCAGAAGAACUUUUCUUUUUCUAUUAAGUUUCAUCUUCAUCCUUCCUUUGGAAAUGCCUUUGGAAAUACAGAAUUAUACUAAAAUUUCUCAUGGUCAUAGAUAAAAUAAUGCUAAACAUAUGUACCUAUACUUUUAGCUGUAGGUGGAAAAGUCAGUGCUCAACCACAGAAUUUCACUAGCCUUUUGCUUACUUUGCUUUCUCCUAUUAAAUGUUAUUGAUUUCAGUUUGCAUCUCCUAAUGACUAUUAUGCCAGGGACAGAACUGGGUGACAGUGAAAUCCAGUUCUAUGCUCCUGCUGAUAAUGAAAAUGUGCUAGUAGCAGACCAGAUUGCUUAAAUUACUGCUAGUCUGAGUAUAAACUUCAUGAGCUGCCUGCCGGGAAGGCAAUCAGCACUAAUGGAGUGACUGAGCCUGUCUUGCUCCUGCUGCCAUCAUAUUGUCAUGGUGGAGCUUUGCUGUUUGCUUCCAGCUGGGAUAGGAAGGAAAAGCCAGAGGACCUGGCAAGCUCCAAUGAAAGGUGAGUAUUGUCAGAUAAAGAACAUUAGGAGAAGAACUCAUUUUUUGAGUUUUGAGCUCUGUACCUUACAUCAGCUCCUGUCAUACCUCUGUGAUGGAGAGCUGGGCACAAUGUAGGGUCUUCAGCACUGACGACAGAAGGAGUAUGGCAAAGUUUCAAUUACUUGUUUUUGCUAAUGGUUUUGUUUCUCAAGGAAAAUAAUGACAAAAAGCCAAAUUCUUCCAGUAGUCUACACACAUGUUCACCUUACAGGCCAAUUAACAGGCAAAUAUUUUAGCUUCAUUACUUUAUGCAGCAUGUUAGAGGCUUUAAUGCCUUACUGAUGUUUUAAUCAUAGUUCCCUCUGUACAACCUUCGACUUAUGAGCACAGUUAACUACAUAAAAAUUUUAAAUUUGCAAAAUCAGGCUUGGGGAUUAAAAGGCAGGACUGUCAGCCAUGUCCCUGAGGAUUGUCUUAUUUUUGUAAAUCUGCCUGGAGGGGUUUCAAAAGCUUCUUUUCUUUCUUAUCUUCACUUGCAAACCUAGUGAUCGUUUUGAUUUUUUUUUUAUGCUUGAGUUUAUAAACUCCCAGACUUCCAGAAAAGAGAGUUUCUUUAAAACCACGUGUCCUCAGUAAUAAUAAUUUAUAGGAGGAAAAUGUAGAAAGCCUGUGAUCCAGAAGCAGAAUUGGUUUUCUUUUCAGCGCUCUCUCACUGUCAAACAUUACACAUAAAAAAUUAAUCCCUAUAAUUUCAGUUGUUCCUAUGGAACUAGAAUUUUAACUAGCGACCAAGUAUUUCUACAAUGCCUACUCAUAACGCAGUUCAGUGACCCGCUUAUGAUCAGGUUAACUAUCCUUAUGCUUCCUAAUUGCAUUCAAGGACAAUCUGUGGUGAAAGUCAGCCCUUCACAAAAAGCUGGCAGCUUCAUCUCUUCUGGGAGAAGGAGCCAGGCUCUGAUGGUCACUUCCUGUCAGCCAUCUGCUAGCAGCACAACAUGCCAUCUAGCAUUGCCUAUGGAAAUGUAUAUGCAUGUGUGCAAGCACAUGACAUGCACAAACAAAUAGAUCUGCACAUAAACUGGAUAGAAUUAUCCUUGUAAGGUUUAUUCUCUGAGGCUAUUGCCUCAGAACAACUUUAUGUUUGAUCACAGGCAUUUGAACUGUCUGAGCAAAGCAGAGCGACGCUGCGUGGCACCACUUUGUGCACAUUGCCCUACCUGCUUUCCCUGCAUGCCCCUCCAGCGUGCCUCCCAUAGAGAAGGAGGUGGAAGGCUUGCCUGGCUGCCAAGGGCACAGUGCUCCAGAAGAGCUAGUCAAGGUCAAGGGGUCUGUGUGACUUGCAUGAGCAGAUCAGGAAGAUCCUUGGUGGACAGAUGCUGUAGAAAGUACUCACGUGAGAAAACUGGGCUUUGAAUCCUGCCUAAUGUUGCCCUAUGCCUAACAGAUUGUCUAAAUACAUAAAUGGCUUUUUGUCCAUGCAAUAAUUAUAGCCAUUAGCAAGGGAUGGGCAAUUAUGGUAAGUAACAUAAUUAUCUCAAAUUCAGAGGUGAAUGCAUGUGACAGUAGAGAAGCAGUAGGAUAUUUAGUAUUUGUCUAGAAGAAAACAGACAACCGAGAAAUAAAUUAGCAGUGAAAUGCAAAGAGAAACUUUAAUGCAAAAAUAUCUGUAAUGUUUCACAAAAGCCCAGUGGCUCUCCAACCCAUGAUUAUCAUGGGUAUAAUGGUUUCAUACAUAACUAAGUCUGGCUGCACACAGUGGAAUUGAUUUUACCUUGUAUGUAUCUGCUCACUUUCCUUCAGUAAAAAACUCUCCCUUUUGAACAGAAGAGAAAAGGGAGAGCAUGAGCUGUUGCAGUUUUUCCUCACAAUUUGCACUCUCUUAUGAAAUCUGCAUUAUAGCAGCCCAGAUAGCAAGCAAGAAAUGGGUGCUUAUACCAGUGUACUGUUCCUUGUUAAAAAGACAGACUCUCUAGGAGGGUUGUAAUACAGGAAGUUCAGAGCAAAGAAUAGUAAAUAAAAUGUUUCCUGAUUGGAUGUGUUGUCUUUGGUUGCUAUAACUUGUUACUGGUUUGUUUUUUUCUCAAAGGUAGAAAUUCACUUCCACAGUUUUUGCAAAGAUAUUUGGCCAAUCUUUCUCCUUGUAUAAGGAAUUUUUUCUAUGCAUCUCUCUUCUUUAUGAUGGGAUGACAUCUGCUCCAUACUCAUCCAAACCCACUAAGUCCCCUCUGCACUGGUAUCAGGGAAUGACAUUACUGGCAGUGGAUGCUGAGCAUUAGGGUAGGAAAUGAAGCUGGCUCAGGAUGAAGAGGUUGUGAUGUAUGAAUGGAUGUUACAGGACUCAAGUGAGGCAACAUCUGGACCUGGAUUAAAAGAGCAGUUUAAUUACUCAGCACCAUUCAAAUGAACCAUUAAAAGACAGACAGUACUGAAAUAAAAGGAAAAAUCGCUGUGCAGAAAAAUUAAGCUUUUAUACCACUAGUCUGUUUUGCCAUCGACAGUGCUGCUUCAUUCCUCAGAGGAUUUUGUCAGCCAGUGCCAUACGACUUGUCAUCACUUGUCAGCCUUCUUAGGCUGAGGUAUGGGCAGACAUGGCAGCAUGGAGCUCUCUAAUUGGCUCGUGAGAAGCUUAGUUAAUGGCUGCAGUGUAGGCAUACCUUCAUUUUGAUUCCCAGAGGCAUGUAAAAUGCUCUGCAAAACAUGCAAUUGACUUUUGCAUAGAAAAUGAUUUCCUUUCUUGAUAUACUUCAAUGAAAACCUUGUUUCAGUUUAGGCUUUCCCACAACAAACUUCAAGCUAACUGUACAACUUGUGGGCCAGAAUGGACAUUUUCAACCUACAAUAAUUCAGCAGACAAAUUUUAAGGCCCAUAAAUGUUUUGUUAGCUGAAGUCAUGUUGCUUUUUUUAGAGAACUUCAACUUAACUGGAUGAGUCUCUUGACUUGUGAACAGCCAGUAAGAUUCCAUAAUCUUUAUGUGCUUCUGGGAGCUGAAUGAAAGCACCAGGUGUACAUCAUUGGUGAGUCAGUACUAGUGGAAAGUAAUUAAUAAUGGUAAGUGAACAAUUUAAAACCUACUGUUAAGAGAUGCUCAAAAGAAAAUAGUACAGUUCUUCACUAUAGAGGCUCAAAGAACUGCAGUUGCUACUGACAGAUGAGCUUUGCUCCAGGAUCCUCUUAAACAUCCGUGUAAAAAAUGGUGGACCCAGUUGCAAUGUUUUUAGGAAUUAAAAGACUGAAUUAGACAGAUACCAUUGUCCAAUAGUAUGAGAAGUACAGAAGCAUUGCAUAAACAGCCAGGGGUCAGCUUCAUUCCUUCUUUUUAUUUGAAUUGCAUAGCUCAGGAAACUCAGCAAUGUGGAAUUCAUCCCUUCUAUUGAUAGACUUGACUGAAUAAAACUUAUGGUAUGUAUGAACUUGCUUCUUCUUACAUGUGACAAAGCACAGGUUAGAAAUCAAUUAAUACUGUGAUGUAUUUACACAUUACAUUUGCCCCCCUUCAGCUGUUUCCCUAAAAUAUAAUGUGUACAUCAACUUUGUACUGUCAGAAGAGAAUUACUGGGCUAUAGAUUCAGACUUGAAGAAAGCAAAUAUCCUGGAAAUGUUGUGUUUGUAGAGGAGCGCCACCAUUCUCCUUGAAUAGGAUCAACAGCAGGAAAAGGUGGGGUCCAGCUUGAGAUGUCUAUAAGCCCCUGUGUCUGCUGAGAGCUGAGUCUUCAAAGUCAUCAGCAUUGAUCAACAAGGCUAGAAGAUACACAUAUUUGGAGCUGAGGCAGGUAAUGCUGUUAACUUCAAGAUGCUGGUAAAACUUAUGUUAGAAACCUUCCCAUUACAACACCUGAAUUCAGAUUCUACUGAAGUGUAGGGAAGUUCAAAUUUCUGGUAGCUUCUCAACUUUUCAUCUUUAGAAAAUAGAUAAGCCAACACCAAUAUCCAGAAUCAGUUAUUUUAAAGGACUGUAGAUUGAAUGAAAUCUUUAUGGACUAGGCUAGUCUUUAUACCCAGGAGCAAAGCUGUAUCAUUAGGUUAUCACGAACAGGACUGAGCCUGAGCACAGAUAAAGGACUGACGUAAACCCUCAGAUGAAUGAAAGCAUGUAGAGCUUUCUGAAUUAAAAACAGAAAUAAAAAUGGGUCAAUGAAAAUAGUUAUCCAAGCUAGAAGAAGGGCUAAACACAGGGGAUUAAGCAGGCUGGAGAGGCUACGGAUGUGUGACCCAGUCAAGUGUGACAGACCCUGCAGCUGCUAUUACUGGAAAUGAGCUACAGCUGUGCCAAACUCCAUGGGCAAAGCAAGGAAGGGAGGUUCCUGAAAAAGUUACUGGGUGCAAACUCGCACAGCUUUUUUGCUGUCCAUGUUUUCUGGUUUGCCUGUUUGCUGUUUUUCGAUUAACCUCUCCCUUGCAUAUAAGAGUUCAGCAAUUGUCUGAAGACUGAAGCCAUGGUACCUGUAGCCUGUCACCAUGCAGUUAAGUAGGUGUUGAGAGAUGGUGGCAUGUGAAGUAUGCAACACAGAGGUGAACAGAGAUAAAACCUCAGUAAAUUGCCAUAAGAUGCACUAACAUGAAGAACCGUGAAGAGCAGCAUAGGGUUAAGAGUAUACAGAUUCCUCUGAUAUCCUCACAGUAUCAUUUGACUUUGCUUCUGCGCUGCCUAUCUAUUAGGUGUUCUCUUCCUUGAAGCAUAGUUUUGUGAUUAUUCAGUGCUAUUAAACACAUUUAACUGGUGAUCUUUGGGCCUGUACUUGCCCCUGAUGGAAAAAAAAAGUAUCCAGUGAUUGCACAGAUUCCUAAUGGUAGUUUAAGGUAAAAAAAAACCAAACAAACAAACAAAAAAAAGUUUUCUGAUUUUUCCGUUUUUUAAUCUACUAAAUGUUUAAUGUGAAAUAUGUAGUCAUUUCUGGAAUCAGACUCCAUUUGGUUUCUUCCCUGUCGACUUUGGCUGACCUUCUUACCUGCUCAUCUUUUUGUUCCUGUCUGCAGAGUGGCUCAGACUGUAGGCCAUGUGAAAUUAAUUCUAUUUUAAUUUGCAUUGCUUGCAGCCCAAGUUGUGAAUUGGAGUCUCCUGGGUGCCUGUGAACAAAGCAGCAGGCAUGGGGAUGCCUUACUUGGGAAAGGAAGUCCCAGGUGGGAGUGAGAGCUAGCCCUGUGCAAGCAGGGUUGUUGGUCCUGCUGGUUUGCUCAAGGCCAGAAUGAGGAGCACAUGUGCUGAGUUAUUCUGCAAAAGUUAGUGUGCCAUGCUUAACACCCUCCUCUCUUUGUGGACUCAUUUUUAAGUUUAGCAUGUGGGGGUCUUAGACCAUUGGAUUUUCCUUGCUUUGAGUGUAAGUCAUGACAAAAAUGAAGUGAGUGCAGAAUGCAUGGCUUCUCAUGUCAGAGAGGGAUAUUUGCUCUUCUAUAGACUGCUGUCUAUUGAAUGAAAGGUUGAAAUGGAGGGCAGGUUUGCUCAAUGCAACUUUUCAGCUAACUUUUGAUUAAUUCCCACCUUGAGUGCCUAAGGCCACAGUCCAUAUUACUCUGUGUUUAUUUGUGGCUUAUGUUUACGGCUUAAGUGACAAAGUUUGAUUCAUCUGUCUGGUUGGCAGAAAAUAUCUUGCAAAUAUAAGGUUGAAGUACAGGCAUUCCUUUGCACUCUGCCCAGAAGUGGUUAAUUUCCACAGUUCUUUUCAGAGAUGCUACAUUAUGCCUGUUCAGUGGAACAGGUGUAAUCAGGAAGACAUUUUAAUAUGCAAUAACUGCUGCUGAGGAAAGUAAUAUUUGCUCUUAUAUUAAACCAGGUAGGUAUGUUCUGAGCCAUAGCAACAAGCCCUUUUAAGCAUGUCUAAUGACUGUCAGUGGCAUGAUGUCCAGGAAAUGGUAAUGUUUGCUCAAAGGCAGUCACAUUUCUUCAUCUCUCUGAUUUUGCCAUAGUUUUUCUAAUGCACGCAUAAUUACACUGUACUUACUGAUAAAAACUAUUUGCAGACAGAACAACCUGUAAUCAUAGCAAUUGCUGGUCAUUGUGACUUAAAACUUCUACAAACUUUGAGGCAGUACAGUAGAGAGGAACAACUUGAAUAAAUUGAGUACAGGCUAAAUUUGAUUUUGUAUUGGCCAUGGAGAAAGAAAGAAACUGUGUGAAUAUUUCACAGCAAAUAUCUCAGGCUGCUGCAGCUUGCUGACAGGCACUUCCCUUCCACCACCUGCACUUUUCCAUUCCAAUUUCAGAGCUUGAGCUGUGCUUUUGCCUCUGUGCUGGUCUCAUAGAGGGCAUAUUGGCAGCUGCCAGGACUUGAGAUGGCUUGGUAGCCCUCUGCAAGGAUUAUGAAAAAGUGAACAUUUUAAUACAUGUACCCAACGAUACCAGUUUCCUUAAAGGCUUUCCCGACCAGCUCAUGUCAGCCCUGAUUUGUGCUAAGAACUUCUUUAUUUUAGGUAUGAAGGUACAUGUCUCCUUUUAGAUCGUGCACAUUUUUAGUGAGAAGGAAAGGUGUGAAGGGAUGUCCUUGUGUUCAGUGGGGCUCUCCCGUCACCGCUGAUGCACUGGAAACAGUCCUUGGCAAGACAAAUUUUUACUCCUAGGUAAUAAAAAGUCACAUUGAGAGCACUGUCACAGCUUUUAGUUAGUACAAUUCCUGAUACAGCCAAAACCUUUCUCUGGAGCAGAUCCUCUGGUCCCUCCUCAUGAUGAGGGUGUAGCCUUAUGCAGGAUUGCAUCCAAAUUCAGUGAGAGAUUUUCCAUUGCCUGCAGUGGCCUCUGAAAGGGGCCCAAGGGUGAAAUCAAUGAUGUUUCUUGCUCCACAGUCCCAAGAGCACAAACAAAUUCUACUGAAGUGUGUAUGAGACAUCUGCAUCCUGUGGGAGCACACUCAAUGUUGCACUGACAAAAGAGCUCAGCUAAUAAAGUGGCAGGCUCCUUGCUGUAUGAGUGAUAAUAGCAAAAACAUUCCUGAAGCAGAUCUUACCCUUCUUCAAAUGAAAUUUUUGUGUACUGAAUAUCCGGAGGUACGAAUUAAAUGCUAACAGAUUAUUAAUUUAUGAAGCAGCCUUGGAGGAUUUAUGCUGCAAGGCUCUCUGGGUUCUAAACUGGUUACUCUUGGCACCCUGGCUUGUCUGAGCCAUUUCUGUCAAAAAAUGCCUUCAUAUGGCUGCUGAGAUUGCUUUAGAAUUGAUUAUGUAGUUCAAUAUAGCCAAAAUAAAUAAAAUAUUUUAAAAUUUCAAUAACAGUAGGAUUGACAUUUGCAAGAGCAAUGAAAAGCCAAGGGAAAAUCUGAUAUUGGGCAAGACAGCUCUCAUGUCCAACCUGGGAGCUCUCCCCAGGCUGCAGAUAAGUGCUGGUGCCUCACGUGUUCACGCUGCAGAAGCAGGCAGCUUCAAUGUGACUAAGAGGAACAGCAAGCACAGCUUUCUGCCUUGCUGUGUGCCUGCAAAGAAAAUUUCUACAGCAGUUAUGUAGUUGAGUAAAUUUAUUUUAUGAAAUACUUAUGAGAUGUGAUUUAACUGCACUGACAUUGAAAAAUAACUCCUGUUCUUUCCCUUGUUUUAUGUAAGAGGGAGUUUUGAGGCAGAUAUAUUUUUGCAUGGUGCAGCUUUUUUUUUUCUUAAUGGUCAUUUCCUAAUCAGGACUCAUGUGCCCCUAUCUCUUAAGAGUUCCAGAAUCUUGGAAAGUCCACAGUACUUCAAAAGCUUGAUUUUUCCUUAGUGACACCAAGGGAAUGUAGGAAAAAUCUAAAAUCCCCCAGAUUAGAAAGUAUCCUAGGAAUACACAUUUUUCUGACUGGUCCUUGUCAUCAGAUGUCUUUAUCUUCAGCUGCAGUUCUCUGAGAGAUACUGGGGUUUGCAAGUUGCAGAGAAAUGUCUUAGUUCAAUUGCACAGUCUUGACAGUUAGGGAUUUGGAAUUUGCUUCAAGUCUUCACGAAAAAUCUUUCUAGCAAUUUAACCUUUAUCUAAAAACAUUUCCUCAGAAGGAAUUACAAAGGGAUUUAGGACUGAAUUCAUAAAUAAAUUAGCAGUCGUGAUCAGAAGUCUCCUUCACAGUUGCUCAUAGACAUGGGAUUUAAUUUUACAUUUUGUACCAAAAAGCUGUCUAAGCUGACUAAGAAAGGUGCUUCCCAGCUGCUGGGAGGACUUGGCCUUGCUUGUAUGGUGUGACUGAUUCAUAGCUCAGGGUGAGAGACUUCUGCACUUAACUGUGGCAGGACAAGUCGGAGCUCCUGCAGCCAUCUCAAAGCUUCUCCAAAUGGAGGCAAAUCUCUUUGUUUCCCCAAAGAUGGAUGUAUGGGGCUGAGCUGAAGGUACAAGACAAGGGAUUUUAGAAGAAAGAUGUGGGAACAUCUCUAAAAAAUCUAUCUUAGCAUGAAUUCUUUUUAGGCAGUGCGAUGGGAGAGAGCUUAGAUCACUAUUCUGUUACAUGGCUUAGUAGAUGUGUUUUGGUAUCUCAUCUUGACAGUUGGACUUGACAACCUAGGAGGUCUUUUCCAGCCAAAAUAAUUCUGUGAUUCUAUAAUUUCCAGGGCAAUAACAGAAAAACCUGUUUUUUCUGGGCCCUGGAAAAAGUGAACUAGAAUACAGCCAGUUACUUAUCCUGUCAUUAUGGUUACUGGUACAACCACCUGGACCUAUGAAUAGUCGUAGAGCUCACCUGUGCUACUCUGCUAGCAUCUUGCAGUCAAAAUUAGCAAAUGCCACACUUCUGCUUGACAGGCUAGUUUCUUUCUCAAGUCCUUUUCAUUCUUCUUGGUUUGGACACCCUUAGUACAACAAAUAAACAAAAUACCUAAUCACAAUGGUGCUGGUAUGUUCUGUAUUGUGCCUGCUGACAGCUGGAAAUGGAACUGAAACCACUCUCCCAUUCUGCACAGUGGAUUAAAACAGCAGGCAAUAAAAUUAGUCAUGCUCAUCACGAGGCUGGUGUUUAAUUAAUGACCUAGCAGCAAAAGGCUCCCAGCUGAUCAUUACAACAGCUUCUAGAGAUUCCUUCAGCACAGUUUGCUGUGUAAGACUAUUGACAUGCAGACAGUGUGCAAACUGACUGGGAAAAAUGAAGUGGUGUCAAGAAUGUUUUGGCUGUAUUAACUCUGAAUAUGUCCUUGCUGCCCUGGGAUUUUGGUCUAAAACACAAUAUUGUUUGAAGGUAGUCUGUAGCUUUCAAUAACAAAUUCCAAUAAAAGGAAAGGAAUAGAAUACUAGCAGCCAAUAGUUGUAAUUUGAAAGAAGACUGCAAAAAAUAUAUUUUGCUUGCUUAUUUUAAAGGUAGAAUUUAAGGAAUUUAAAUUUUGUUCUUAAGUCCUAAAGAUAAUCAGAGAAAGCCUUGUAUACCCACUGGCUGAUUUAUUAGAAAAUUAGAUCAGCAUGCUGCCAAAUAUUCAGAUUUUGGACAUGUUUUCAUAUUGAUUCUUGUGAUGAAAAUCACAGAUGUAUCAAGGACACAUCCCACAGUAUUUAUCUGCACCUGAUAUGUAAUGAGUUCCUUACCUCUGCAUCUUAAAGGAAUGCUAUUUUUCUCUGGUAAAAAUUAAAAAUCUCCUUCCCAUUACAGAGGUACAGAGGUAGAGGAUUUGGGAAACUAAACUUAUGGGAUUCUGACCUUCUUAGUCUUAUACUCUUUGUUGGAGGACUGACUCACAAUCAUAGCAAUAAAUUUAGCAUUAUUUUAUUCGAUUUAGAGCCCUUGCUUCAGAAAUAGAGAUGAUGUCUUAGUAUUAUUCUCUAAAGAGAAUCUAGCCUUAUGCUGAAAGUAUGACAUUUUUUCUUUUAUUUAUUUUUUUGAAUUGACAAUGUGAAACAUUUGUACAAUAAGGAGAAAUAUUUCAUUGAAAGGCCUUUUCAUUACCUGCUGCUCAGCAGUUUGCAUUUAUGCACAUUCAUUUUUAACACCUCCAUUUUCAAGUUAGAAUAGAGUUGUUGGAUUGAGAGUUAUUCUGCUUCAGGAGGACUCAUAUCCUUCUGAAUAGCAACAGAAGUAAAGCACAGAGAAACCCAGGUGCCAACCUAAGCUUUGUUCAAUAAAUACAGCUCACAGUCAGCACUAUAUACCCUGUUUCUGAAAACCAGGCCAUGGAUUAUCCAAUUAAAUGCUCACCUUUGAAAGUUAAGAUGAUUAUUCCAUCUUCUAGUUCUUAAAAAAACUCGAGGGAACUGCUUUUCUUGGUAGCUCAGUCGUGCCUUCAUUUCUCCUGAGUCAGGAGUUGUGUGAAGCUGACUGAAACAGACAUUUUCCACUUGUCUUGUCAAUUCCAUUAGGAGCUUUAGCCCCCUAGAGGGAAUCAAUGCACGAAUUAACCAAAGAUUUAUGAAUCCCCAAAGGGAUAAUUUAAGGCUGUAUUAUGGUACAGUGGAUUUUAAUUCUAGCUGAGAAAAUUUGCUCCUCUAACUUUCAUAUUUGAUUUUCUUCUUGUCAGAAUAUACAAGAAUUAGAUGAUUUUUCACCCCCCCCCCUCACCCCCCCACUCACCCCCCCACUCCAUAAAAGGCCUCCCAGAAAACUUCCUUCAGGGAUUAUAAAGAAAAUUACAAAUGGAUUUGGAUGAUUUUAUUUCAAAAUCUAUAUUGAAAGAACAAGUGAUAUUCUUUAAUGUCAAAUUUUAAAGAUAGGAAAACUACCUGCUAGCAUCAAGCAUGAGGGUUCAGUGAGUAGAGCAGCUUGUCAUCUGGUGUAAAUCAGCACUACUGUAUUGAAGGAGACAAGCUCAGUUGAGCCAUAUUGUUUACAGUAAAUGAAAACCUAUCCUACUAUUUCUCAGUGCCAUUAGGCAGGCUGAGAAAUGAUCAGAUGGCAUUCAGGCACAGAAUGAAUCUAACUCUUCCUCCAAUCCCAUGCUCUGGUUUGCUACCUUGUUGUCUCUUAAUUUCUGUUUCCUUUUAGGAGCUGCUAACUUUGCUGUUAUUGCUUCCUUUCUGCCUCCGCUGCUUUUACAUUCUUUGGAUGAGCCCUUAGGGACACAGUAUUUUUGUUAAGUUUUCUGAUCUUAUAGUAAACCCCCAUCUUAGCCUUUGUUUAUCAAUUAUUUGAUAUUCAUUUACAUAAUGUGAUUUUGAUCACAUGGAAUUUGUUUAGCAUUUGGUGAGUGUUCCACAUCUAAUUACUACCACAUGUUAUAAUUCACUGUCAAGUGAAUGAGCCUUUCAAAUAUAACAAUGCAGAAAUAACUAAUGGGACCCUGCUGAGCCUAAUUUGUUUGGAAAAAACUGGAAUUGAAAGACUUGAGAAAGGGAACUGGCUUUCUAGCCAAUUAAAUGGCACAUACAGCGUUGGCUCUCCUUACAUCAGGCUGUUAGGAUGAGAUGCUUAGGAUGACAGUUUCAAGAACAGCAGAGAAGGAAUGGCAAAGCAUUGGAUUUUUGCUGCUUUGUACACUGUCACCCAUUUCCAGUCUGGCAAAUACUUCAUGAAACUUUAUUCAAGUGAAAAUUGGAAGACUGGUAUUUGUGAUUAACUGGACAGGGAUGAUGACUAGGAUUAUCAUUACUAUUGUUCAUAGAGCAUUUUACAGACAGUAAUGAAAUAAUUGCCUCAGAAACCUGAUUGCACGCACUCAGUAUUCAAAUAAAGGGGAGAACUGAACGGUGGCUUCUUCCACUCAUCUCAUGUGUUCUGUUGACCCACAAGAAAAUCUGUUCUCUCUGACUUUAACUUGUUUAGUCAGUCUGCAUUUUUACAGUGGAAGAGCUAUCCUUCAUAGACCUUUAAAUAGAUAUGUAAGAAGUUCAAGAGAAAAUAGUAUUAUGUCAAUCAGGAGGGAAUGUUAGAGGAAAUUAUUGGGUGAGAAGGAAAACAUGGAACAAAAGUUUUGGAAAACAUGGCAAAGAAGUUUGGUGGCAUACAUGACUGGAAAGAAGGAGCUAUUGCAAAAGAGAUGGAAAGCAGGAAACAUGAGAAAGACUGUGAAGAUAAUCAGAAAGAAAAACAUAGUCUGGUGAAAGACUUUUCUAGAGAAAUUAUGGAAGACUGUUAAGGACUCCUAUACACACAGGAUUUUAGUAUCUAUAUGAGAAACACAAUCUGAAUAUGGAGAUGCUAGACGAAGAGGAAUUGGCAGCAGAUUACAGGAGAAAUAAUCAGAAUUUGAAUAUGCUGCUCUUUAUCAUGGAAACACCGUGAAAUACCAGUACGACACAGGCAUUAUUCUGAAGAAUUCUGAAGCAUAGAAUCAAAUCUGGUGUCUGCCAACCUUGGAUGUACCUUGAUUUUUGAACCAUUAUGGCAGUGCUCUUUGAAGCUUUGAACAACUUCCAGCAGUAAUGCGGAAACAAACAUACCAAAAACAUACAGGAAAUGCAUAACAAGAGCAAAGAUUUAAAUAUUCUUGUGUUUUCCUUUUAAGAUGUCAUAAUUAAAGCUGCUCCUUUGGCUGAAAAGAAAAAAAAAAAGGCAAGCUGACAAUUUCUUUUUAAGAUUUG